AGCGAACGCUGGCGGCAGGCCUAACACAUGCAAGUCGAACGAACCUUUCGGGGUUAGUGGCGGACGGGUGAGUAACACGUGGGAACGUGCCUUUAGGUUCGGAAUAACUCAGGGAAACUUGUGCUAAUACCGAAUGUGCCCUUCGGGGGAAAGAUUUAUCGCCUUUAGAGCGGCCCGCGUCUGAUUAGCUAGUUGGUUGAGGUAAUGGCUCACCAAGGCGACGAUCAGUAGCUGGUCUGAGAGGAUGAUCAGCCACAUUGGGACUGAGACACGGCCCAAACUCCUACGGGAGGCAGCAGUUGGGAAUCUUGCGCAAUGGGCGAAAGCCUGACGCAGCCAUGCCGCGUGAAUGAUGAAGGUCUUAGGAUUGUAAAAUUCUUUCACCGGGGACGAUAAUGACGGUACCCGGAGAAGAAGCCCCGGCUAACUUCGUG
This 434-nucleotide ribosomal RNA is filed under the name uncultured bacterium. RNAcentral's name for it is "partial 16S ribosomal RNA". It matches the Rfam family "Bacterial small subunit ribosomal RNA", at positions 29 to 507 of the family's 1533-position model. The record is from RNAcentral.